Molecule: small nucleolar RNA, 135 nt
Organism: Crocodylus porosus (Australian saltwater crocodile)
Lineage: Eukaryota; Metazoa; Chordata; Crocodylia; Crocodylidae
Source: Ensembl
UGCCUUUUGUGUUGCCCAUUCAUUUUUGUUACUAAUGACUGCGGUGUCAAAAAAGGCGUAAAGAAACCUCCUCCACAGUAUCCCUCGGCACUGGGGGUGAGUCUCCUCUGCCAUUUGGCUGUGGAAGGAACAGUU